GGUGGUGGUUGGUUGGUGGUGUUGUGGUAGUGCUGCCAUUUAGUAGGUUAGUUAAGGUCGGUGGUGUUGUGGUUGGUGGUGAGGUGUUGGUGGUGUUGUGUUGGUGUUGAUGAUUUUAUUAGUUUUUUUUCUGUUUUAUAGAUAUGGUUUACGUCAUAGGAGGUUGGUGUCAUGUACUGUAAUGGGUGUCACAGAUGCUUGUGUCAUAGAAGGUGCUGUGGUAAUUGUUAUAGUUGCUGUAACGUUUAUUAUAUAAGGUGUAUAUAAUGUCAUAGGUGUUGUGGUCAAUAUUCUGGGUGUUGCAAUGGGUAUUACUGAAGGUGGUAUAACAGAUAUGCCAUAAAAUGAAUCGAGAAAGUUAAAAAGAAGAAAAAGAAAAUUUAUUGAUGUGAUGACGGUAUGAAGGCGAUUUGGCAAAGCAGAAAAUUCGUUAACAUACGCUGUUGAUAUUUGUAUAUUUGAGCUUGUAUAUUAUUUAGUCUCAGCUCUUAAAAGUCUCGAGGUCAGUAAGCUUUAAUAAAAAAAAAAAAAA
Long non-coding RNA from Penaeus monodon (black tiger shrimp), 532 nucleotides. RefSeq lists it as uncharacterized. Lineage: Eukaryota; Metazoa; Arthropoda; Malacostraca; Decapoda; Penaeidae. The transcript has 2 exons. The record is from RefSeq and is a predicted model, not a curated record.